This 372-nucleotide ribosomal RNA is filed under the name uncultured bacterium. RNAcentral describes it as "bacterial SSU rRNA". It matches the Rfam family "Bacterial small subunit ribosomal RNA", at positions 524 to 898 of the family's 1533-position model. The record is from RNAcentral.
UACGGAGGGUGCAAGCGUUAUCCGGAUUUAUUGGGUUUAAAGGGUCCGUAGGCUGAUGUGUAAGUCAGUGGUGAAAUCUCACAGCUUAACUGUGAAACUGCCAUUGAUACUGCAUGUCUUGAGUGUUGUUGAAGUAGCUGGAAUAAGUAGUGUAGCGGUGAAAUGCAUAGAUAUUACUUAGAACACCAAUUGCGAAGGCAGGUUACUAAGCAACAACUGACGCUGAUGGACGAAAGCGUGGGGAGCGAACAGGAUUAGAUACCCUGGUAGUCCACGCCGUAAACGAUGCUAACUCGUUUUUGGGUUUUCGGAUUCAGAGACUAAGCGAAAGUGAUAAGUUAGCCACCUGGGGAGUACGGACGCAAGUCUGAA